AUACGUAGGUGGCGAGCGUUGUCCGGAAUUACUGGGCGUAAAGGGCGUGUAGGCGGUUUUUUAAGUCAGGCGUGAAAACCCGAGGCUUAACCACGGGAUUGCGUUUGAGACUGGAAGACUUGAGGAUCGGAGAGGGCAGUGGAAUUCCCAGUGUAGCGGUGAAAUGCGUAGAUAUUGGGAGGAACACCAGUGGCGAAGGCGGCUGCCUGGACGACACCUGACGCUGAGGCGCGAAAGCUAGGGGAGCAAACGGGAUUAGAUACUCCGGUAGUCCUAGCCGUAAACGAUGGGUACUAGGUGUGGGAGGUAUCGACCCCUUCCGUGCCGGAGUAAACACAAUAAGUACCCCGCCUGGGGAGUACGGCCGCAAGGUUGAA
This 377-nucleotide ribosomal RNA is filed under the name uncultured bacterium. RNAcentral describes it as "bacterial SSU rRNA". It matches the Rfam family "Bacterial small subunit ribosomal RNA", at positions 523 to 898 of the family's 1533-position model. The record is from RNAcentral.